Molecule: small nuclear RNA, 105 nt
Organism: Rhinopithecus bieti (black snub-nosed monkey)
Lineage: Eukaryota; Metazoa; Chordata; Mammalia; Primates; Cercopithecidae
Source: Ensembl
GUGCUUUAGCAGCGCAUAUACUAAAAAAUUAGAAUGAGACACAGAAGAUUAGUAUGGCUCCUGUACAAGGGCGACACGCAAAUUUGUGAAACACUUCAUAUUUUU